RNAcentral lists this ribosomal RNA (138 nucleotides) under uncultured eukaryote. RNAcentral describes it as "partial 18S ribosomal RNA". It matches the Rfam family "Eukaryotic small subunit ribosomal RNA", at positions 1299 to 1458 of the family's 1831-position model. The record is from RNAcentral.
UGGUGGAGUGAUUUGUCUGGUUAAUUCCGAUAACGAACGAGACCUUAACCUGCUAAAUAGCCAGGCCGGCUACGGCUGGUCGAAGGCUUCUUAGAGGGACUGUCAGCGUCUAGCUGACGGAAGUUUGAGGCAAUAACA